This 484-nucleotide ribosomal RNA is filed under the name uncultured bacterium. RNAcentral describes it as "partial 16S ribosomal RNA". It matches the Rfam family "Bacterial small subunit ribosomal RNA", at positions 30 to 507 of the family's 1533-position model. The record is from RNAcentral.
AUUGAACGCUGGCGGCAGGCCUAACACAUGCCAGUCGAGCGGAUGAAGGGAGCUUGCUCCUGGAUUCAGCGGCGGACGGGUGAGUAAUGCCUAGGAAUCUGCCUGGUAGUGGGGGAUAACGUCCGGAAACGGGCGCUAAUACCGCAUACGUCCUGAGGGAGAAAGUGGGGGAUCUUCGGACCUCACGCUAUCAGAUGAGCCUAGGUCGGAUUAGCUAGUUGGUGGGGUAAAGGCCUACCAAGGCGACGAUCCGUAACUGGUCUGAGAGGAUGAUCAGUCACACUAGACCUGAGACACGGUCCAGACUCCGACGAGAGGCAGCAGUGGGAGAUAUUUGACAAUGGGCGAAAUCCUAACCCAGGCAUGCCGCGUCUGUGAAGGAGGUCUACGGAUUGGUAAGCAGUUUUGGUUGGGGGGAGGGGCAGUUAGUGAAAAUCUGGAUGUUUUGACGUGACCAACUGAAUAGGCAACGGCUAACUACGGG